CUGGCAGGACUGCAGCCCCUCCACCUCUCGCUUGCUCUCUCACCCAGUCCGCAGCCAAGAAGCAUGCAUUCUACAGAGUUUUAAUUGUCCAUAUGAACAGCUGCUUCAAGAGGUGAGUGAUUACUUAAAUAGACUAAGCACUUAAAGAACUAUAAAAUAGGGAAAGUGUAAUGACAUAAUCUCAACAGCAUUUAUUAGUAUUCAAGAAGAGAGACUUUUCAAGGGGAGAUCAAGCCUCACAACCAUGACCUUGUGGACAUCUAAAACUGUGAUUUGAAUGUAGGAAAAUCCCAGGAUGAAAGAAGUUUUGCCUGGACUGAGGCAGGAAAGAAACAGUGUUUUAAUGGUCACCAUGACUUCUUGUUUCCUUCUGAUUCUCCUGUCAAAGAAUUUUCCCUUGGAUUCUACCCCAGCCAACAUCCAGGCUAAUUUCACCUUAUAGUUUAGCCAGAACAGUGUCACCAGGAGGAAAGAGUAGAGAGUGUCUGGUAAAAUAACUCUGUUAUUACAUUCUAAUCCACAAAUACUAGGUACACUAAUUAAUAAUGCUUUGCAAUAAUAUAGUUCAUUUGAUUAAAGGUUCAGAAAGUGGUUUAUUUUUAUUGAUUGGUAUAAAAUUGUGCUAGAUCCUGAAGAUAGGCAAGCACUGCAUCUCAUUUCUCAUAGUUGAUAGUUUUAACACAAAUAAAAUUGUAAUUCAUGAGUGUAAAUUCAAAUCCCAGUGUUGUAACCAUUUUUUGCCACCAAAAUUAAUGUGGGAAGAAUUAAUAAACAGGAUUCUGAUGUGCAAUGAUAUUAAAGGAAAUAUGCUACCUUUGUAGCUUAAAUAUUCUGUAUAUUCAGAGGC
Molecule: long non-coding RNA, 847 nt
Organism: Gallus gallus (chicken)
Lineage: Eukaryota; Metazoa; Chordata; Aves; Galliformes; Phasianidae
Source: Ensembl